This is a small nucleolar RNA of Bufo bufo (common toad), 68 nucleotides long. The record is from RefSeq and is a predicted model, not a curated record. Lineage: Eukaryota; Metazoa; Chordata; Amphibia; Anura; Bufonidae.
CCGGAGGUGAUGCAGAUACUUGUUACGUGAUACACAUGUGAUGUCUCUAUUCAUACUGUCUGAUCCGG